Molecule: ribosomal RNA, 423 nt
Filed under: uncultured bacterium
Lineage: Bacteria
Description: bacterial SSU rRNA
Rfam family: Bacterial small subunit ribosomal RNA
Source: RNAcentral
AAGACCUUGCACUUUUGGAGCGGCCGAUGUCUGAUUAGCUAGUUGGUGGGGUAAUGGCCUACCAAAGCUUCGAUCAGUAGCUGGUCUGAGAGGACGGCCAGCCACACUGGGACUGAGACACGGCCCAGACUCCUACGGGAGGCAGCAGUGGGGAAUUUUGGACGAUGGGCGCAAGCCUGAUCCAGCCAUGCCGCGUGAGUGAAGAAGGCCUUCGGGUUGUAAAGCUCUUUCAGCCGGGAGGAAAAGGUUGCGACUAAUAAUCGCAAUUCAUGACGGUACCGAAAGAAGAAGCACCGGCUAACUACGUGCCAGCAGCCGCGGUAAUACGUAGGGUGCGAGCGUUAAUCGGAAUUACUGGGCGUAAAGGGUGCGCAGGCGGUUUUGUAAGUCAGAUGUGAAAUCCCCGGGCUUAACCUGGGAACU